AGUGAACGCUGGCGGUAGGCCUAACACAUGCAAGUCGAACGGCAGCACAGUAAGAGCUUGCUCUUACGGGUGGCGAGUGGCGGACGGGUGAGGAAUGCAUCGGAAUCUACUUUUUCGUGGGGGAUAACGUAGGGAAACUUACGCUAAUACCGCAUACGACCUACGGGUGAAAGCAGGGGAUCUUCGGACCUUGCGCGAUUGAAUGAGCCGAUGUCGGAUUAGCUAGUUGGCGGGGUAAAGGCCCACCAAGGCGACGAUCCGUAGCUGGUCUGAGAGGAUGAUCAGCCACACUGGAACUGAGACACGGUCCAGACUCCUACGGGAGGCAGCAGUGGGGAAUAAUGGACAAUGGGCGCAAGCCUGAUCCAGCCAUACCGCGUGGGUGAAGAAGGCCUUCGGGUUGUAAAGCCCUUUUGUUGGGAAAGAAAAGCAGCAGGUUAAUACCCCGCUGUUCUGACGGUACCCAAAGAAUAAGCACCGGCUAACUUCGUG
RNAcentral lists this ribosomal RNA (492 nucleotides) under uncultured bacterium. Its description in RNAcentral is "partial 16S ribosomal RNA". It matches the Rfam family "Bacterial small subunit ribosomal RNA", at positions 29 to 507 of the family's 1533-position model. The record is from RNAcentral.